Canis lupus familiaris (dog) is the source of this 5121-nucleotide long non-coding RNA. RefSeq lists it as uncharacterized. The transcript has 11 exons. Lineage: Eukaryota; Metazoa; Chordata; Mammalia; Carnivora; Canidae. The record is from RefSeq and is a predicted model, not a curated record.
GCCUCACGGCGUCCGGAGGUGAACCGGGAGGCCCCGCCCCGUGAGGCUGCGUCAGUGCUGGUGACGUCACGCCUGCAUGACGCCAGCGGCCCGUGCGCUAAACCCGGCCUGGGCGUGCUCUGGGCCUCUGCGGAGCGGAACUGUCGGCCCUCGGAGCUCCUGAACCGACGGCUGACGGCGCGAAGCACCUGCGCCCGGUGAAGGUUUGUACCUCCUCUCCCGUGUCGGGUCUUCACCCGGUGACGCACCUGGCGUCAGCUCGCACCUGCCUCCCGGGCCGGGUGUCUCAGGCUCGCGCUGCGGAGACAGCGAGCCGAGCUCUUCAGCUGGCGCGUGCUACCCAGAGCUCCGGGGGCGGCCUCCCGAACCCCGCGGGAGGAUGAGCGACGCCAACCUGUGUCAGAGCUUCGGAGUCCAUGCACUGUGCGGGUCACAUCCACUGGACGCCUCUGACGUCUGAGAACCGCCAGGAACGCAGCUCCCAGGUAGGCUCCCCACCCAGUAUUGGGUUCAGAAGCUCACAACCUGAGAUCAAGAGUCACAUGCUGUACUGAUUGAAUCAGCCAGGAGCCCUGGAUUUUUUUUUUCCUUAGUAAAAAUAGAAUGCAGGCUGGCAAAAUGAGAGGAAACAAAUCAGGAAAAGAAAACAGGAAACAUUGGAAAGAUAAAUAGAGUCUUUCCUGUGAAGGGUGUUCUCUUCAUUGUAGUCACUCAGGACUGUAUGAAAUGCUGUCAUUUACCCUACCAGGAGGACAAGAGGAUGCAGAGAAGCAUGCACUUGCUCUAAAACCUUCUGGCAAGAAGUGACACAGGCUGCUUAUGCUCACAUUCUGUUGAUGAAAGCAAGAACAGAGACCUAAUUUCAAGUGAGGAGUGAAGUACAAUCCUACCAUGUGCCUGGAACCAGGGAGAACCAGAAUAUAUGCGGCACUAAUGGCUGCCACAGAAAAGAACUGAAUAGUAACACCAACAAAUGCAAACUGCAACAGUAACAAGUCCUAUGGAGGGAAGGAGGAAGACACUAAGCUAUGACUGUGUGCCAAUAAUGGGGAAUGUGAUCUAGACAGAGCUAUAUAUGGGCAUACGCCUAAAGUUCUCAUCAAAGGAAUAUGAGCAGAAAAGUCUUACAUGCCUCUCUUAAAAAGAAAAUUUGCUUCCUUCUCCUUCUCUUCCUGCAUCCCACAGGAUUUAAUGAAGUCACAAAGGACUUUUGUUUACUAGUCACAAAUUAAACUCUUUGUUUAGAGAGGUAUUCUGUGUACCUUUACGUAAGUGAUAUGGCUGGAGAAGAGGGUAAGGAUGGCAAGUGGAGAGAGGAGAAGGAGCAGGAUAUUCAGGCCCUCUCAGAAGAGCUGCCGUUCAUCCAGGCUUCUGGGAUACCUGAAGCUAAAUCUUCUUGAAAUCUACUUUUUCAUCUCACUGUACUCAUACAUCUUGCAUGCCAGAAGCUUCCCCUCCAAUCAUCUCUCUCUGACUUGAAACCCAACUCAUGUAAGGCCAGGAUGGAGUGAUAGGGACUAGAUAUACCCUCUCACCUGAAGAAAAAAAAAAAAAAAAAAACUGGAAAAAGGUAAAAAGUAAAAAAUAAAAACCGCUUUUAAGACACUGGAUAUCGGACAACAUAAGACAGUCAUCUCGGAGCGGUGGGAAACAAACAAGGAGGCACCACACUCACCACGGAGCCCGAUUCAGGGCUCAAACUCAUGACCCUGAGAUCAACACCUUGAGAUGAGCUCAAGGGUCAGACACUUAACUGUCUGAGCCACCUCGGCACCCACAGCAGUGUGACUUGGAUGGAAUUGGAGGGUAUUAUGCUGAGUGAAUGAGAGUUUUGAAAGACUACAAAUGAAUCAAAAUAGAAAAAAGAAAUGCUAGAAAAGAAAAGCAGCAUCCAUAAUAUGGUUUCAUCUUACAUAACUCUUAACACCAAAAUGCAGGACUCAAGUAAACAACACAGGGAUCAUCUCACACAAGCACAAAGGAAGCAUGAAAAACGCUGAACCUGAGCAUCAAAAGACCUGUGAGAAUUUACUCUGGCUCCUCCGCUAACUGCCUAUGUGAUGAGUUGUCAAGUCUUCAGGGAGCCUCAACACUUGGAACAAGGAAAGAGGAUCUCUCCCUCCAAGAAGUGAACUACAUGUUGUAUCUGAGCAUCCGUUUAUUCAUGUAUUCAUUCUUCCAAUUGACAAAUUGACCAUCUCCUCUGUGUCAGGCAAUAUGACGCACAGUGACCCAGGGAUGAAUAAGACAGACAAGCUCUCAUGGAGCUUACAUUUACUAUGGGAGAGAAACAAUAAAAACAAUAAAAAGUCAUUAAACAGAUUAAUCUUAUAUGCUGAUAGUGAUAAGUGCUUUGACACUAACAUGUGACAAGUGUGACAGAGGAAUGGUACAUUAGACUGGGUGGUCAUGUGAGGCAUCCCUGCAGAUGUGAUUCUGAAUUUGGAAUGUGACUGACAAGAAGGAAUCAACCCUCUGAAGAUCUGGAGGAAGAGUGUUCCAGAUAGAAUGGCAAGUCCAAUCACCCUGCAGAUGUGAUUCUGAAUUUCGAAUGUGACUGACAAGAAGGAAUCAACCCUCUGAAGAUCUGGAGGAAGAGUGUUCCAGAUAGAAUGGCAAGUCCAAAGUCCAAGGAAAGAAGAGCAUAAAGAGCUCACGAAAGAGUGGAAGGAAAUCUUAUUGAUUUGGCAGGCCCAAACCUAAUGGGUGUGCGUGUGUUCCCAAGGCUUAGGACCAAGUCCUGUGGACCGGCAGUUCUCUGUCUGUGUAGGAUCAACGAAGGGAUGAGGCCUACAUCUUGAAAAGCUGAAGACCAGCGGUGGAGGAAUACUAAUUGUCACCCUUGAAGCUGCAGGACAGUACAAGUAUUGCUUCGUUUUUACAGAUAAGGAAUCACUUAUUAUAAAUGAGAUUGAAUAGACGAGAAGGGCACACAAAGCAGAAACUUGUCUCUAAUAACCAUAGAUAGCAACUUUCAUUAUAAUUUCAAAUUCUAGAAAAGUCAUCCUCUCUCCCUGCCCAUUCACCCAAAGAAAUGGUACCCGUUUGUAUUUUUGCUCCAGCUACCCACAACUCAAUCAAAUUGUAUAUUCUUUUUUUUUUUAAGAUUUUAUUUAUUUAUUCAUGAGAGACACAGAGAGAGGCUCCCUACAGGGAGCCUGAUGUAGGACUAGAUCCCGGGUCUCCAGGAUCAGGCUAACUGAGCUACCUGGGCUGCCCCCAAAUUGUAUAUUCUUUUUUUUUUUUUUUUCCAAAUUGUAUAUUCUUUAUUGCAGUUCAUAUUCUCCUUAUUUUGCUGUUAUCUACUGUAUGGUGUAAAUAACUUCAAACCUUUCGUGGAAAAAGUAUAAAAGAUUAAAAUACAUAAAUAGAUAUUGUAGAGAAAGUCAGUGCAAAAAGAAGCUGGGGAGAAAUGUUUGGGUGGCUAAACAAAUCUGAGGAACUCAAUAGCAGCAAAGGAAAAUUAUUUCUUUUAUCGGAGAGAUUGUAUUUAGUGACUAAGGAGAUAAGUGCCACCUGCUGACAAAAUCUUAAAGACCUAGCAUUCCAAGUUUCUUAGAAUCUGAUUAGACAUCUGUCUGACUCCUCAUAACUUCAUAGGUGGAUAAGAAGGGAGCCCAGAGGCAUGACUGUUUCCUCUAAAAUAAAGACUAUUCCAUACCUAAACUACUCUAAACAGUUUGUUGCCUCAAACCAACCAAAGGUAAAGGCCUUUCACCUUUGCCAAAUACCUGCUUCACAAGAGCCGCUCAGAAGCAAGGGACUACAUUGGAAAUGAAAUGUGAAGCCCAGGUAGGGCAAAAAGCCUCACUCCAAGCUGCUGUUUAGUGUCCUUCGGGCUUUUGCUUCAUACUCAGGACUAAAAUAACUUCACUUGGAGUAGAAAAGACAGUAUACCUGACCUAUCUGCCAAGAAACCCAUCAUUUGUAAGCUUUUGGUGACAAGGGCACUAGACUUAAUAAACAUUAAAAUGAAACACAUGAAGAAGGGAAUUUGACAAAAGGAUUGAUGGUUAAGGUGACCUCAGUUAACUUUUAAGUUUGUGGCACACAGAAAAGGCAGUGUCAUGGUUUCUAGGCACUUAAUGGUCUGUAUUGUUGCCACAGUAAUAACAAAGUUCAGAUCUCAGGAAAGGACAUUAUUAGUGGGGAAAGAUCAUGGGAUUUGGAGUCAGGAGAACUGGAUUACAGUGCAAACCCUGUUGCUCACUAUUUGUGAGCUUUCUGGAAAGGGUCUUAACCUUUUUGGACUUCAGUUUCAUCAUCUAUAAAAUGAAACUUCCGAUACUUGCCUGCCCAACCAAUAAGUUGGUAUGAUGAUCAUGUGCAGUGAAUUAUGAAUUAUGAAUAGACAUGUAUUCAUGAUUUGUAUUUUCUUAUCUUUUGAUAAGCUUUAUGUGGAUAAUUAAAUACCUCCAAGAUAGGCAAUUACUCUUUAACGUCUAAGUCCAUCUAAAAUUAAGAAGCACUUAGUACAGUUCCUAUGCAAUCAAGCACUAAUAGAUGUAUCUUGUUAAAACUAUCAAAAGUAAUGGAACAUUAUGCACCCAGAACUAAUCCCCAAGUCACUCUCCUUAACCAGAACUUUCACCAGAACAGAGUAGCCUUAGGUUGAGGGAUAGUCAAUACAGCUAGUUUAAAAGGGCAGCACAGCGGUACCUGGGUGGCUCAGUGGUUGAGUAUCUGCCUUCGGCUCCAAGUUUGAUCCCAGGAUCCUGGGAUCGAGUCCCAUAUCAGACUCCCUGCAGGGAGCCUCCUUCUCCCUCUGCCCGCCUAUCUCUUGGCCUCUCUCUGUGUGUCUCUCAUUAAUAAAUGCAUAAUCUUUAAACAAAUAAAAUAAAAAAUAAAAGGGCAGCACAGGACCAUAGAGCCAGAUGACCUGGGUUCAAAUUUCAGUUCUCACAUUCAGUAGCUAAAUGAUCUUGGACAAGUUACUUUAAUUUCUUAGGGCCUUAAUUUAAUCUUUCCAUAUGUGAAAUGGGGUAAAAGUACCAACUCCAAAGAGUUAUUGUGAGGAUUAACAAUAUUUCUGGAAAAAAAAAAAAAACAAUAUUUCUGGAAAAAAAAACAAAAAACAAUGUUUCUGAAGUACUUUAUGACAGAUACCUGGAACCGAGUAAA